UAUUUCUCCGGUGUGAAUUACUUGAUGAUUAUCAAGAGUUCUCUUCACAGCAAAGCUCUUUCCACAUUCCAGACAUGUAUAUGGUUUUUCUCCAGUAUGAAUUCUUUGAUGUUGACGGAGGUUUCCAUCCUGACAAAAGCUCUUUCCACACUCCAGGCAUUUGUAAGGUUUUUCUCCAGUGUGAAUUCUUUGAUGAUAACGGAGGUGUCCACCCUGAGUAAAGCUCUUUCCACACUCCAGGCAUUUAUAAGGUUUUUCUCCAGUGUGAAUUCUUUGAUGUUUAUCAAGAUCUCUCCUCGCAGUGAAGCUCUUUCCA
Molecule: non-coding RNA, 316 nt
Organism: Notechis scutatus (mainland tiger snake)
Lineage: Eukaryota; Metazoa; Chordata; Lepidosauria; Squamata; Elapidae
Source: RefSeq, a predicted model, not a curated record